AAAAAAAAUAAAAUGCAAUCAUGACCUCUCACGCACUUAAUACUUAGAACCCUUGAGCAGAGUUCAACAGAGAAUUAAGGCCCUACUUGUAUACUAGGAAUACGAAUUAAAAACCAGGAAUCAAUACUUCAAUUCCACUUCCCAGGCAUUUGGCAAUCUAUUAUUCAUAAAAAAAGGAAGAGGAAACUAAAAGAGAGGGAGGAGUUGUUGUGGGGGGGGGGGCCGCCGGGGCGG
Molecule: unclassified non-coding RNA, 234 nt
Filed under: Hevea brasiliensis (rubber tree)
Lineage: Eukaryota; Viridiplantae; Streptophyta; Magnoliopsida; Malpighiales; Euphorbiaceae
Source: RNAcentral